Long non-coding RNA from Dreissena polymorpha, 1797 nucleotides. RefSeq lists it as uncharacterized. Lineage: Eukaryota; Metazoa; Mollusca; Bivalvia; Myida; Dreissenidae. The record is from RefSeq and is a predicted model, not a curated record. The transcript is spliced from 2 exons.
UCAAACCAAAGUCAUAUACAUGUGCAUCACUACAUCAACACCACAUUCAUACUGAUACUGUCUAAGUCUACAUUAACACCACAUUACUACCGAUGAUGUGUAAGUCUACAUUGACACCACAUUACUACCGAUGAUGUGUAAGUCUACAUUAACACCACAUUACUACCGAUGAUGUGUAAGUCUACAUUAACACCACAUUACUACCAAUGAUGUCUUAGUCUACAUUAACACCACAUUACUAACCGAUGAAGUCUUUGUCUGCAUCAAAACCACUUGCAUGAAAUCUUGUUUAACAGGAGGUGACCUGUAAUUUAAACAACCACCGUGUGAAACUGAGUUGCGUCUUAAACUGAAGCACACCUGAAACAUUGGUAGCGCGAGGCCGACUUCCUGAGGCCGCCACCUAGCGCUAUGCGCGCGACCUCGCAAACACGACGUGCCUUCCGAAGCCCUCGGAAGGCCAAUUAAAAAAUAAGAAAUUCAAAUAAUUAAUUUUCCUACGGCUGCUUACCUUUUGAUAAGGAACUAAAACUAAAGGAGAGGCCACAAAUAUUCACAAUGCGACAAACAGGGGACCGUUGAUUCAACUAAGCUUCUACAAUCAAUAUCUACACACUUCAAUGGAAGCUCUUCGUCACCCAAAGGCCCUAGGUGAAGCGUCCGUCACCUUGUACGACUUCCGUAGACGCGAACCCUCUGAAGAACCUUUAAAUGUGCAGGGAAAACUCUGCAGCCCGGAGAGCACCGUUUAAAGUCAACGUUAUCACCCGAACGCUCCAGAGUACUGUUCUUUACUUUGCCGUACCUUUUCUUCCGAUGCUCGCACCCGCAGGAGAAGUGACCAACUUGUAUUUGAGAAUGUCAGAGUUUAUUUAUAGUUCGUCUUGGAGUCUUCAUGACUAUAUUAUGUGCUGACCUAGUGACCAACUUGACCAACUUGUCCAACUUGCCAAUUUGCAAGCCUUUAUAUACUGGCGAACCGAGCGCAAUCUAUCAAGGGACUCGGAAAAUAAACCUUUCCGACUUCCCUUUCUUACUUAACGGAGAUAACCGACCAUGAUUUUCUCUUUCACUGCGACAGAGACAAGCCAAAUGUAUAUGCAGGAUUUUACAAGAAAAAUUCCUUAAAUAUCAAAUGCUCUUAAUAUGCUUAAUAAAUAACUUCUUACAUGGAAAUUAACUUACUUUGUGAAUUACAAUUAACAUCUCCAUAUGGUUAACUUGGAAAAUGUAAAACUCAUGGAGGUAUACUUCGAGUACUGUCUACCAGUGGUUACCAUCUACCAAUUUUAGGUCAAGACUGAAGUUUAUUCUAGCAACCAUCCCAAUCGGAUAUCAUGAAUACAUUGGUAGACGGUACCAUCACAACAAAUAAAAUGAAUGCUUACCAGCUGUAGAAGGCAGCCGAUAUCUGAGCAAAAAGGCAUCAACAUAUCUAACUGAGUGUUUAUUUCUGUAUGAAAAGGGUUAAUUUACGUCAAUCUGAUGUAGGACAAAAUCUAGGACAAAAGCUUGAUACACUGGUAGACGGUAUCACCAGGUCGAUUAUAGUGUGACAGUGAAGAAUUGCAAAGCAGCUUAUUCGACCCAGAAACCUUUCGUCACACAUACAUGUAUUUACUUCGGAACUGUUACUGUGACAAUAGCAUUACCGGUAUACUGGAAUACACAAUCGAUGUUGAUAAGUCCUUUUUUCACAUCUCCAUUCACUGACCGUUGUUAUACAUGAAAACAUGUGGAUUUUUUUUUACAAACUAUCGUAUUACAUUAGUUUACAAUAAACAUAAUUCCACUCGA